Molecule: long non-coding RNA, 420 nt
Filed under: Monodelphis domestica (gray short-tailed opossum)
Lineage: Eukaryota; Metazoa; Chordata; Mammalia; Didelphimorphia; Didelphidae
Description: lncRNA (ENSMODG00000037637.1)
Source: RNAcentral
AUGGUCAAAAUUGCCGGAGGAGACAGUGUUAGGUUCGAGAUUGGAGACAGAUCAGCAGACCUGGACUUGGCCAGUUGGAUCCAUGGAAGAGAACCAAAGUCAUCCAGCAUUUCCAAAGAAUGUCAGCCCAGAGAGAGGAAUAGUGGAAACAUCUGGACACCCACAAAGCACAUCAUGCCCUGUGACACGAGACCAGGAAGAGAAGCAGACGAACAACACUGAUGACAUCAGUUAGCUGCACACCAGCCACACUCCACUCAUGCUGGAUGAAACCAUCACUGGUGACUACAUACACACACCAAAGACUGACAUUACUCUUAUUUUAAUUAUAUUUACUAUUAUUCCCCUGAUGGACAGUUGUCAUGCUGAAAUCUAUUGGUCUAUUAUACCUAAACCCCAAUAUUAAGAAUGUAAACUUGU